This 158-nucleotide microRNA precursor is filed under the name Oryza meridionalis. RNAcentral describes it as "MIR812 microRNA precursor family". It matches the Rfam family "MIR812 microRNA precursor family", at positions 27 to 191 of the family's 205-position model. The record is from Rfam by way of RNAcentral. Lineage: Eukaryota; Viridiplantae; Streptophyta; Magnoliopsida; Poales; Poaceae.
UACAACGUUUGACUCUUCGUCUUAUUUAAAAAAAAUCUAUGAUUAAUAUUUUGUUUGUUAUUAGAUAAUAAAAUACGAAUAGUGUUUUAUGUGUUACUUUUUUAUUUAAAAAAAGAAUUAUAUAAGACGGACGGUGAAACGUUGGACAUAAAAACCUA